GGAGAACCAGAUCCAACAGAGAAUCUGUUUCCUUUAAGCCGUCCUCCCUCACUAUCCACAUAGUAUAGUCCUGGACCCUUCUCAUCCCAACCAGCAAUCAUAGUUCCAACAGACAAACCCAUUCCACGGUACGAAUAUAAAAUGUUUGCCAACAGCUUUGAAGCUCCAGUAACUGAAAUUCUCCUUUUGUUUGCCAGUUCAUGAAGACGGCACUUGAUUCCCAGGUUUCUAUGCCAGAAUUGGCAGUCAGCAGCCCCACCAGCCAUUGUGCCAAGCAUAUAGGGAUUAAUUUCAAUGAUUUUCUUCACAGAUUGAGAUGAUAUAUAUCCUCCCAUGCUAGCCCGAGAAUCAGCAGCAACCAUGACACCUCCUUUAAAAAUGAAAGCAAGGGUUGUGGUUCCCUUUGCGGGCUUCACCAUUUGGAUUGCUUCUUUUUGAAAACCAUCAAAAUUAGCAGUAUUAGGAAGAUGGAAUGAUGGAGAAUUUGAAAUUCCAUCAAACAGCUCAGAAGAUUCCCCUCGAAGUGGGGCACUUGGUUCAAGUCCACUAAAAUCGAUCUUCAUCAUUUACAACCUUAAGCUGCAAUAAGAUCUAGAUAUCGCCGGAGAAAG
Molecule: unclassified non-coding RNA, 611 nt
Filed under: Hevea brasiliensis (rubber tree)
Lineage: Eukaryota; Viridiplantae; Streptophyta; Magnoliopsida; Malpighiales; Euphorbiaceae
Source: RNAcentral